GACCCGACGCCGCCGGAACUGCCCGCGGCCUAGUUCCGACUCGCGCGUACCUGUGAGCCGGACCCCGGGACAGUGGCGGCGGCGGCCGGGCCUGCAGGGACCCGACUGGACCGCUGCCAUGGGAGAGUGACGCGUCUGCGCCCGCUGUUCCGCAGCAGCGGACAGACAUGAGGAGAUCCCGCGGCGGCGGCAGCGGCGGCGGCUCCUGAGCCCCGGUAUGGAGGAGAAAUACGGCGGGGACGUGCUAGCCGGCCCCGGAGGCGGCGGCGGCGGCCUCGGGCCGGUAGACGUGCCCAGCGCUCGAUUAACAAAAUACAUUGUGUUACUAUGUUUUACUAAAUUUUUUAAGGCUGUGGGACUUUUUGAAUCAUAUGAUCUCCUAAAAGCAGUUCACAUUGUUCAGUUCAUUUUUAUAUUAAAACUUGGGACUGCAUUUUUUAUGGUUUUGUUUCAAAAGCCAUUUUCUUCUGGGAAAACUAUUACCAAACACCAGUGGAUCAAAAUAUUUAAACAUGCAGUUGCUGGGUGUAUCAUUUCACUCUUGUGGUUUUUUGGCCUUACUCUUUGUGGACCACUAAGGACUUUGCUGCUAUUUGAACACAGUGAUAUUGUUGUCAUCUCACUACUAAGUGUUUUGUUCACUAGUUCUGGAGGAGGACCAGCAAAGACAAGAGGGGCUGCUUUUUUCAUUAUUGCUGUGAUCUGUUUAUUGCUUUUCGACAAUGAUGAUCUCAUGGCUAAAAUGGCUGAACACCCUGAAGGACAUCAUGACAGUGCUCUAACUCACAUGCUUUACACAGCCAUUGCCUUCUUAGGUGUGGCAGAUCACAAGGCUGGAGUAUUGUUGCUAGUACUGGCUUUGUGUUGUAAAGUUGGUUUUCAUACAGCUUCCAGAAAGCUCUCUAUAGAUGUCGGUGGAGCCAAACGUCUUCAGGCUUUAUCUCAUCUUGUUUCUGUGCUUCUCUUGUGCCCAUGGGUCAUUGUUCUUUCUGUGACAACUGAGAGUAAAGUUGAGUCUUGGUUUUCUCUCAUUAUGCCUUUCACAACGGUUAUCUUUUUCGUCAUGAUCUUGGAUUUCUAUGUGGAUUCUACUUGUUCAGUCAAAAUGGAUGUUUCCAAAUGUGCCCGCUAUGGAUCCUUUCCCAUUUUUAUUAGUGCUCUCCUUUUUGGAAAUUUUUGGACACAUCCAAUAACAGACCAGCUUCGGGCUAUGAACAAAGCAGCACACCAGGAGAGUACUGAACACGUCCUGUCUGGAGGAGUGGUAGUGAGUGCUAUAUUCUUCAUUUUGUCUGCCAACAUCUUAUCAUCUCCCUCUAAGAGAGGACAGAAAGGUACCCUUAUUGGAUAUUCUCCUGAAGGAACACCUCUUUAUAACUUCAUGGGUGAUGCUUUUCAGCAUAGCUCUCAAUCAAUCCCUAGGUUUAUUAAGGAAUCACUAAAACAAAUUCUUGAGGAGAAUGAUUCUAGGCAGAUCUUUUACUUCUUGUGCUUGAAUCUGCUUUUUACCUUUGUGGAAUUAUUCUAUGGCGUGUUGACCAAUAGUCUGGGUCUGAUCUCAGAUGGAUUUCACAUGCUCUUUGACUGCUCUGCUUUGGUCAUGGGACUUUUUGCUGCCCUGAUGAGUAGAUGGAAAGCCACUCGGAUUUUCUCCUAUGGGUAUGGCCGAAUAGAAAUUCUCUCUGGAUUUAUUAAUGGACUUUUUCUAAUAGUAAUAGCUUUUUUUGUGUUUAUGGAGUCAGUGGCUAGAUUGAUUGAUCCUCCGGAAUUAGACACACAAAUGUUAACACCAGUCUCAGUUGGAGGGCUGAUAGUAAACCUUAUUGGUAUCUGUGCCUUUAGCCAUGCCCAUAACCAUACCCAUGGAGCUUCUCAAGGAAGCUGUCACUCAUCUGAUCACAGCCAUUCACACCAUAUGCAUGGACACAGUGACCAUGGGCACGGUCAUAGCCACGGAUCCACAAGCGGAGUCAUGAAUGCUAACAUGAGGGGUGUAUUUCUACAUGUUUUGGCAGACACACUUGGCAGUAUUGGUGUGAUCGUAUCCACAAUUCUUAUAGAGCAGUUUGGAUGGUUCAUUGCUGAUCCCCUCUGUUCUCUUUUUAUUGCUAUAUUAAUAUUUCUCAGUGUUAUUCCACUGAUUAAAGAUGCCUGUCAGGUUCUGCUUCUGAGACUGCCACCAGAUUAUGAAAAAGAACUACAUAUUGCUUUAGAAAAGAUACAGAAAAUUGAAGGAUUAAUAUCAUAUCGAGACCCUCAUUUCUGGCGUCAUUCUGCCAGUGUUGUGGCAGGAACAAUUCAUAUACAGGUGACAUCCGAUGUGAUGGAACAAAGAAUAGUACAGCAGGUUACAGGAAUACUUAAAGAUGCUGGCGUAAACAAUUUAACAAUUCAAGUGGAAAAAGAGGCAUACUUUCAACAUAUGUCUGGACUAAGUACUGGAUUCCAUGAUGUCCUGGCUAUGACAAAACAAAUGGAGUCCAUGAAAUUCUGCAAAGAUGGUACUUACAUCAUGUGAGCAUAACUCAGGAAUUACCCCUGGGGUAUGAACAAUGAAGAUUAAAUGACUCAGUAUUUGUGAUAUUGCCAGAAGGACAAAAAUUGCACAUAAUUGUACAGAAACUUUUGAAGCUCCCUACUAUUGGAUCAAGGAAUCUUUCUUAAAAGAAAUUUAAAUACAGAAUGAAGCAUUAAUUGUGAAAGACUCAGGAGAUUGCACUGGGCCCACCCAGGUAAUCCAGGAUAUUCUCCUCAUCUCAAGGUCUUCAAAGACCCUUUUGCCAUGCGUCCUGCCUCACUUGGGUUCAAUUGAUUUGCUAGAGCGACUCACAGAACUAAGUGAAACACCUAUGUUUACCAAUCUAUUUCCAAGGAUACCAAUGAAGACAUGCAUAGGGUGAGUGAGGUAUAUGGGAAGGAGCAAGGACCUUCCAUUCCCUCCCCAGGUGACCACCUUCCAGGAACCUCCACGUGUUCAGCUACCUGCAAGUUCCCUAAACCCAGCCCUUUGGGGUUUUUAUGGAGGCUUCAUUACGUAGGCAUGACUUGAUUAAAUCAUUAGCCGUUGGUGAUGAACUUAACCUUCAGACCUUCUCCCCUCCCCAGAAGUUGUGGGGUGGGCCUGAAAGUCCCAACCCUCUAACAUCUUUAGUCUUUCCUGUGACCAGCCCCCAUCCUGAAGCUACCUAGGGGCUGCCAGCCACCAAUCGGCUCAUUAGCAUAAAAAGACGCCAUUUUGGAGAUUCCAAGGAUUUUAGGAGUCGUAUGCCAGUUAAAGGGGACGAAGACAAGCCCCUGAAAAACACAGCACAUGUUUGAACUGCACAGGUCCACU
Molecule: RNA transcript, 3334 nt
Organism: Cynocephalus volans (Philippine flying lemur)
Lineage: Eukaryota; Metazoa; Chordata; Mammalia; Dermoptera; Cynocephalidae
Gene: SLC30A5
Gene name: solute carrier family 30 member 5
Exons: 18
Source: RefSeq, a predicted model, not a curated record